UGCCACAGUUACCACAGAUGUCCUC
RNAcentral lists this non-coding RNA (25 nucleotides) under Mus musculus (house mouse). The record is from RNAcentral. Lineage: Eukaryota; Metazoa; Chordata; Mammalia; Rodentia; Muridae.